Molecule: ribosomal RNA, 813 nt
Filed under: Triticum aestivum (bread wheat)
Lineage: Eukaryota; Viridiplantae; Streptophyta; Magnoliopsida; Poales; Poaceae
Description: partial small subunit ribosomal RNA
Source: RNAcentral
AUGAGGUAUAAGCUUGGUGAGCGCACCUUCGAACCUAGCAUCUCAAGGGCCAUCAACCCUCGUUUUCCUUCACUCUAUGCUAAACCAGACGGGCUUGUCGGUAUUGGCAAGCCAAGAAGCGAGAUCAUCAAGUGCCUGAUGGAGGGGAUGGGUGCAUCGAUGCAGCAGCAAAAGGUGAUAUCUAUUGUGGGUCCUGCGGGUCUCGGUAAAACUACACUUGCCAAUGAGGUGUUUCGUAAACUAGAAGGCCAGUUCCAAUGUCGAGCUUUUGUUUCCUUGUCACAACAACCAGAUGUGAGUAAGAUCUUAAGAAACAUACUCUCUCAAGUCUGCCAGCAAGAGCUUCCUAGCACAGAUAUACAGGACGAGGGAAAGCUCAUUGACACAAUAAGAGAAGUUUUAAAGAACAAGAUGUACUUAGUUGUUAUUGAUGAUAUAUGGAGUACUCAAGCACGGAAGAUUCUCAAAUGUUCUUUGUUUCUGAAUGAUCUGGGAAGCAGAAUAAUGACGACAACACGUAGUAUUGAUAUAGCCAAGUCAUGUUGCUCUCAACGCCAUGAUCAUGUCUAUGAAAUAAUGCCUCUGACGGCAGCCAACUCUAAGAGUUUAUUUUUUAAACGAAUAUUUGGCUCAGAAGAUAUAUGUCCUCCUCAAUUGGAAGAAGUCUCCUCGGAAAUAUUAAAAAAGUGUGGUGGUUCACCAUUAGCAAUUCUUACAAUAGCAAGUUUAUUGGCUAAUAAAGCUUGCACAAAUGAAGAAUGGGAGUGGUGUAUAAUUCGAUCGGUUCCACACUGGGAAAGGACCCCGGUGUAG